UGGUGGUAAUAGCGCGGUGGUCCCACCUGACCCCAUGCAUGCUGAACUCAGAAGUGAAAUGCCGUAGCGCCGAUGGUAGUGUGGGGUCUCCCCAUGUGAGAGUACG
This 106-nucleotide ribosomal RNA is filed under the name Arsenophonus endosymbiont of Aleurodicus floccissimus. Lineage: Bacteria; Pseudomonadati; Pseudomonadota; Gammaproteobacteria; Enterobacterales; Morganellaceae. The record is from RNAcentral.